Paramacrobiotus metropolitanus is the source of this 1277-nucleotide long non-coding RNA. RefSeq lists it as uncharacterized. Lineage: Eukaryota; Metazoa; Tardigrada; Eutardigrada; Parachela; Macrobiotidae. The record is from RefSeq and is a predicted model, not a curated record. The transcript is spliced from 5 exons.
AUACAUGAAUUCAGUGCCAAAUACUACACGGUUAAAUCUGACCAAAUGUGGUCAUCCGGAGCCUGAUUCCUUCGUCAUGCUGCGCGAUAUUCGCGACCCUGGGAUGCCGUGGUUGGGGUUUGUUAUCGGCCAGACGCUUUCCUCAAUAUGGUACUGGGCUGCUGACCAGAUGAUGGUGCAGCGUGUGCUAUCCUCGAAAAUUAUAUCGGAUGCCCAAGGUGGCUGUAUUCUUGCUGGAAAUAUUUGAGAUUGCUGCCAUUGUUUAUUGUGGUCAUGCCCGGUAUGAUUAGCCGUGUGUUGUGGCCGGACGAAGUGGGAUGCAUCAAUCCAGACAUUUGUGAACGGAUUUGCGGGAAUUGUGUUGGUUGCAGUAAUACUGCAUGCCAAAACUCGUGAUGCGUCUAAUGCCGGCGGGACUGCGCGGGUUAAUGAUAGGAAGCAAUAUCCAGGCGCGAACCAGAUUCUGUGAUACAUCGCUGGUAUGUCAACAGCUGAGGAGCUCCUCUUAAAAUUCCCAAUCCGUGAAGAUAUGCCGCUCCCGUGAGCGACUUCAGUUUUAUUGCGCUUGCUGGUAAGUUCUUUGUCAAAGACUGACGCAUCCGUUCCACUUCCGGUGUAACGUUGUCUCCAAAGCACGCCAUCAAAAAAUCAGAAGAAAGUCCAAAGGCAACCUUUCCAGCGAUUUCCUUGUGCUGCUCGUUGGCCCCUUUCAGGCCAAACUGGAUCAGUAGAGCGGAGGUUUCCAGCAGUCCAGCUUCAGUGAUAUCCUGACCGAAAAGAUACUGUGUGGCGGCAGCAAACUUUGCGUACAUGAGGAGCUCCUCUUCCGGCACAAUUCCGUGCAAGCAAGGUAAACUGUAAUACAACGUGAAAGCCAUGUACAUGGAACCUUUCCACUGGCCUAUCUCAUCUAACGUUUUAGGCUUCCGUAAUGUAGACGGCGGUUGCAGUUUUUCUAGGAAAGAAUUAAUUUUUUUCCUGUUAUCUGGCGUUAACUUCCACGCUGUUCCCUUCAAGCGAUACUCCAUAAAUUUCUCCUCCAACCCUUCGAAGCACAAGUGCAUAGGCUCUACCGGCAUUUGGGCAGGUAAGUUAUAAUCUGUCAGUUUCAUCAGCUCAGACAUUCCUUGCAGUCCAAUAAACUCGUGCAGUUGAUCAGGAGCUCCUAAAACUGCUGCACGCGCACGCGCUCGCUCUUUCGUAAUCUGAGCAUCUCGAAGUUUUGGUAGACGGAAUGGCGCCUGCUUUGAAUUUACCAUUGGGUAGCAUUUUAUCGU